RNAcentral lists this ribosomal RNA (222 nucleotides) under uncultured bacterium. RNAcentral's name for it is "partial 16S ribosomal RNA". It matches the Rfam family "Bacterial small subunit ribosomal RNA", at positions 524 to 745 of the family's 1533-position model. The record is from RNAcentral.
GACGGAGGAUGCAAGUGUUAUCCGGAAUCACUGGGCGUAAAGCGCACGUAGGCGGCUUGGUAAGUUAGAGGUGAAAGCCCGGGGCUCAACCCCGGAACUGCCUUUGAAACUAGGUGACUAGAAUCUUGGAGAGGUCAGUGGAAUUCCGAGUGUAGAGGUGAAAUUCGUAGUAUUCGGAAGAACACCAGUGGCGAAGGCGACUGACUGGACAAGUAUUGCGUG